AUUGAACGCUGGCGGCAUGCCUUACACAUGCAAGUCGAACGGUAACGGGCCUUCGGGUGCCGACGAGUGGCGAACGGGUGAGUAAUACAUCGGAACGUGCCCGAUCGUGGGGGAUAACGAGGCGAAAGCUUUGCUAAUACCGCAUACGAUCUACGGAUGAAAGCAGGGGACCGCAAGGCCUUGCGCGGACGGAGCGGCCGAUGGCAGAUUAGGUAGUUGGUGGGAUAAAAGCUUACCAAGCCGACGAUCUGUAGCUGGUCUGAGAGGAUGAUCAGCCACACUGGGACUGAGACACGGCCCAGACUCCUACGGGAGGCAGCAGUGGGGAAUUUUGGACAAUGGGCGCAAGCCUGAUCCAGCCAUGCCGCGUGCAGGAUGAAGUCCUUCGGGUUGUAAACUGCUUUUGUACGGAACGAAAAGCCUUCUUUUAAUACAGGAGGGUCAUGACGGUACCGUAAGAAUAAGCACCGGCUAACUACGUG
RNAcentral lists this ribosomal RNA (482 nucleotides) under uncultured bacterium. RNAcentral describes it as "partial 16S ribosomal RNA". It matches the Rfam family "Bacterial small subunit ribosomal RNA", at positions 30 to 507 of the family's 1533-position model. The record is from RNAcentral.